This 505-nucleotide ribosomal RNA is filed under the name uncultured bacterium. RNAcentral describes it as "partial 16S ribosomal RNA". It matches the Rfam family "Bacterial small subunit ribosomal RNA", at positions 28 to 507 of the family's 1533-position model. The record is from RNAcentral.
GACGAACGCUGGCGGCGUGCCUAAUACAUGCAAGUAGAACGCACAGUUUAUACCGUAGCUUGCUACACCAUAGACUGUGAGUUGCGAACGGGUGAGUAACGCGUAGGUAACCUGCCUGGUAGCGGGGGAUAACUAUUGGAAACGAUAGCUAAUACCGCAUAAUAUUGAUUAUUGCAUGAUAAUUAAUUGAAAGGUGCAAUUGCACCACUACCAGAUGGACCUGCGUUGUAUUAGCUAGUAGGUGAGGUAACGGCUCACCUAGGCGACGAUACAUAGCCGACCUGAGAGGGUGAUCGGCCACACUGGGACUGAGACACGGCCCAGACUCCUACGGGAGGCAGCAGUAGGGAAUCUUCGGCAAUGGACGAAAGUCUGACCGAGCAACGCCGCGUGAGUGAAGAAGGUUUUCGGAUCGUAAAGCUCUGUUGUAAGAGAAGAACGGGUGUGAGAGUGGAAAGUUCACACUGUGACGGUAGCUUACCAGAAAGGGACGGCUAACUACGUG